Molecule: transfer RNA, 85 nt
Filed under: compost metagenome
Description: tRNA-Leu
Rfam family: tRNA
About the family: Transfer RNA (tRNA) molecules are approximately 80 nucleotides in length. Their secondary structure includes four short double-helical elements and three loops (D, anti-codon, and T loops).
Source: RNAcentral
GCGCCGGUGGCGAAAUUGGUAGACGCACCUGGUUUAGGUCCAGACGCCUUCGGGUGUGAGGGUUCGAGUCCCUCCCGGCGCACCA